Molecule: ribosomal RNA, 497 nt
Filed under: uncultured bacterium
Lineage: Bacteria
Description: partial 16S ribosomal RNA
Rfam family: Bacterial small subunit ribosomal RNA
Source: RNAcentral
GAUGAACGCUGGCGGCGUGCCUAAUACAUGCAAGUAGAGCGAACAGAUGAUAAGGUUGCUCGUCUGACGUUAACGUCUGACUGGUGAGUGAGAGGGUGAUGAGCUGCCUAUAUGACUGGUAGAGGGGCAGGAAACCUGGGCUAGUUCGCUAUAAUAGAUUAAAACUCAUUGUUCAAUAAUGAAAGACUGAUUGGCGCUCUCUUAUAGAUAGAACAUCGUCGCAUGAGCUAGUUGGUAAGGGAACGGCUUACCAAGGCAACGAUGCGUAACAGACCUGAGAGGGUGAUCGGCCACACUGGAACUGAGACACGGUCCAGCCUCCUACGGGAGGCAGCAGUAGGGAAUCUUCCGCAAUGGCCGAAAGCCUGACGGAGCAACGCCCCGUGAGUGAUGAAGGUCUUCGGAUCGUAAACCUCUGUUAUUAGGGAAGAACAAAUGUGUAAGUAACUAUGCACGUCUUGACGGUACCUAAUCAGAAAGCCACGGCUAACUACGUG